GCGGAUCUAGCUCAGGGGUAGAGCGCCGGAUUUGGAUCCGGAGGUCGCAGGUUCGAGUCCUGCCUUCUGCACCA
This 74-nucleotide transfer RNA is filed under the name Mesorhizobium sp. RNAcentral's name for it is "tRNA-OTHER". It matches the Rfam family "tRNA". Rfam says of the family: Transfer RNA (tRNA) molecules are approximately 80 nucleotides in length. Lineage: Bacteria; Pseudomonadati; Pseudomonadota; Alphaproteobacteria; Hyphomicrobiales; Phyllobacteriaceae. The record is from RNAcentral.